This 1008-nucleotide ribosomal RNA is filed under the name Hygrocybe noninquinans. RNAcentral describes it as "eukaryotic LSU rRNA". It matches the Rfam family "Eukaryotic large subunit ribosomal RNA", at positions 32 to 981 of the family's 3401-position model. The record is from RNAcentral. Lineage: Eukaryota; Fungi; Basidiomycota; Agaricomycetes; Agaricales; Hygrophoraceae.
ACUUAAGCAUAUCAAUAAGCGGAGGAAAAGAGACUACAGGAUUCCCCUAGUAACUGCGAGUGAAGCGGGAAGAGCUCAAAUUUAAAAUCUGGCAGUCCUUUGGGCCUGCCCGAGUUGUAAUCUAGAGAAGUGCUUUCCGCGCUGGGCCGUGUACAAGUCUCUUUGAAUGGAGCAUCAUAGAGGGUGAGAAUCCCGUCUUUGACACGGACUGUCCAGGGCUUUUUGCGAUGCACUUUCAAAGAGUCGAGUUGUUUGGGAAUGCAGCUCAAAAUGGGUGGUAAAUUCCAUCUAAAGCUAAAUAUUGGCGAGAGACCGAUAGCGAACAAGUACCGUGAGGGAAAGAUGAAAAGAACUUUGAAAAGAGAGUUAAACAGUACGUGAAAUUGUUGAAAGGGAAACGUUUCAAGUCAGUCGCGUUGGCUGGUAAUCAACCUUUGCAAUUCUUGCUAGGCUUACUUUCCAGUUGACGGGUCAGCAUCAAUUUUGACUGUCAGAUAAAGGCAAGGAGGAACGUGGCAUCUUUGGAUGUGUUAUAGCCUCUUGUCACAUGUGGCGGUUGGGAUUGAGGAACUCAGCAUGCCAAUUUAUUGGGUCGGGGCUUUUGGCUCACGUAACAUGCUUAGGAUGCUGGCAUAAUGGCUUGAACCGACCCGUCUUGAAACACGGACCAAGGAGUCUAACAUGCCUGCAAGUGUUUGGGUGGAAAACCCGAGCGCGAAGUGAAAGUGAACUUGGUCGAGAUCCCUGUCGUGGGGAGCACCGACGCCCGGACCAGACCUUUUGUGACGGAUCUGCGGUUGAGCAUGCAUGUUGGGGACCCCGAAAAGAUGGUGAACUAUGCCUGAAAUAGGGUGAAGCCAGAGGAAACUCUGGUGGAGGCUCGUAGCGAUUCUGACGUUGCAAAAUCGAUCGGUUCGAAUUUUGGGUAUAGGGGGCGAAAGGACUUAAUCCGAACCCAUCUAAGUAAGCCUUGGGUUCCUGCCCGAAAGUUUCCCCCUCCAAGGAAAA